This 301-nucleotide ribosomal RNA is filed under the name uncultured bacterium. RNAcentral describes it as "partial 16S ribosomal RNA". It matches the Rfam family "Bacterial small subunit ribosomal RNA", at positions 509 to 809 of the family's 1533-position model. The record is from RNAcentral.
CAGCCGCCACGGUAAUACGAAGGGUGCAAGCGUUAAUCGGAAUUACUGGGCGUAAAGCGUGCGUAGGCGGUGAGUUAAGUCUGCUGUGAAAUCCCCGGGCUCAACCUGGGAAUGGCAGUGGAUACUGGCUCGCUAGAGUGUGUCAGAGGAUGGUGGAAUUCCCGGUGUAGCGGUGAAAUGCGUAGAGAUCGGGAGGAACAUCAGUGGCGAAGGCGGCCAUCUGGGACAACACUGACGCUGAGGCACGAAAGCGUGGGGAGCAAACAGGAUUAGAUACCCCCGUAGUCCCUGUCUCUUAUAU